UAGGGAAUCUUCCGCAAUGGACGAAAGUCUGACGGAGCAACGCCGCGUGAGUGAAGAAGGUUUUCGGAUCGUAAAACUCUGUUGUGAGGGAAGAACAAGUACCAACUAACUACUGGUACCUUGACGGUACCUCACCAGAAAGCCACGGCUAACUACGUGCCAGCAGCCGCGGUAAUACGUAGGUGGCAAGCGUUGUCCGGAAUUAUUGGGCGUAAAGCGCGCGCAGGCGGUCCUUUAAGUCUGAUGUGAAAGCCCACGGCUCAACCGUGGAGGGUCAUUGGAAACUGGGGGACUUGAGUGCAGAAGAGGAAAGUGGAAUUCCACGUGUAGCGGUGAAAUGCGUAGAGAUGUGGAGGAACACCAGUGGCGAAGGCGACUUUCUGGUCUGUAACUGACGCUGAGGCGCGAAAGCGUGGGGAGCAAACAG
This 427-nucleotide ribosomal RNA is filed under the name uncultured organism. RNAcentral describes it as "bacterial SSU rRNA". It matches the Rfam family "Bacterial small subunit ribosomal RNA", at positions 355 to 775 of the family's 1533-position model. The record is from RNAcentral.